ACUGGAGUUGGUGGUGGAGGUGACUUGUAAACAGGAGUUGGUGGUGGUGGAGACAUAUAAACUGGUGCAGGAUGGUAUGGUGUUGGUGAAGGAUGGUAUGGCUUCACUGGUGGCGGUGGUGACUUGUAAACUGGUGCAGGAUGAUACGGUGUUGGUGAAGGGUGGUAUGGCUUCUUGGGUGGUGGUGGUGACUUGUAAACGGGAGCUGGUGGUGGUGGCGACUUGUAAACUGGUGUGUGUGGAGGGUAGUAUGGCUUCUUGGGUGGUGGUGGUGACUUGUAAACUGGAGUUGGUGGUGGUGGUGACUUGUAAACCGGGGUGUGUGGAGGGUAGUAUGGCUUCUUGGGUGGUGGUGGCGACUUGUAAACUGGAGUUGGUGGUGGUGGAGACUUAUAAACCGGGGUGUGUGGAGGGUAGUAUGGCUUCUUGGGUGGUGGUGGCGACUUGUAAACUGGAGUCGGUGGUGGUGGAGAUUUGUAAACAGGGGUGUGUGGAGGGUAGUAUGGUUUCUUGGGUGGCGGCGGUGACUUGUAAACCGGAGUUGGUGGUGGUGGCGACUUGUAAACUGGGGUGUGUGGAGGGUAGGAUGGCUUCUUGGGUGGUGGUGGUGACUUGUAAACGGGAGUUGGUGGUGGUGGCGACUUGUAAACCGGGGUGUGUGGAGGAUAGUGUGGCUUCUUGGGUGGUGGUGGUGACUUGUAAACUGGAGUUGGUGGUGGUGGAGAUUUAUAAACGGGUGCAGGAUGAUAUGGUGUUGGUGAAGGGUGGUAUGGCUUCUUAGGUGGCGGUGGAGACUUAUAUACAGGGUGGUGGGGUGGUGAUGGAUAGACAUGCACUGGUGGAAGAGGAGACUUGUAGAGGUAUGGUUUCUUAGGUGGUGGUGGAGAUGAG
RNAcentral lists this long non-coding RNA (891 nucleotides) under Nicotiana tabacum (common tobacco). Its description in RNAcentral is "long non-coding RNA (NTAB_LNC000477)". The record is from RNAcentral. Lineage: Eukaryota; Viridiplantae; Streptophyta; Magnoliopsida; Solanales; Solanaceae.